ACUCCUACGGGAGGCAGCAGUGGGAAUAUUGCACAAUGGGGGAAACCCUGAUGCAGCGACGCCGCGUGAACGAAGAAGGUAUUCGUAUCGUAAAGUUCUGUCCUAUGGGAAGAUAAUGACAGUACCAUAGAAGAAAGCUCCGGCUAAAUACGUGCCAGCAGCCGCGGUAAUACGUAUGGAGCGAGCGUUGUCCGGAAUUAUUGGGCGUAAAGGGUACGCAGGCGGUUUAAUAAGUCGAAUGUUAAAGAUCGGGGCUCAACCCCGUAAAGCAAUUGGAAACUGAUAAACUUAGAGUAGUGGAGAGGAAAGUGGAAUUCCUAGUGUAGUGGUGAAAUACGUAGAUAUUAGGAGGAAAUACCAGUAGCGAAGGCGACUUUCUGGACACAAACUGACGCUGAGGUACGAAAGCGUGGGGAGCAAACAGGAUUAGAUACCCUGUAGGCUCU
RNAcentral lists this ribosomal RNA (446 nucleotides) under uncultured bacterium. RNAcentral describes it as "bacterial SSU rRNA". It matches the Rfam family "Bacterial small subunit ribosomal RNA", at positions 335 to 797 of the family's 1533-position model. The record is from RNAcentral.